This 2348-nucleotide unclassified non-coding RNA is filed under the name Penaeus japonicus. RNAcentral's name for it is "transcription factor A, mitochondrial-like, transcript variant X2". Lineage: Eukaryota; Metazoa; Arthropoda; Malacostraca; Decapoda; Penaeidae. The record is from RNAcentral.
CACGAACACAGUCCGGGCACGAUGGCGUUGGCGAGGAUCUUUUCUUCACAACUUUCUUUGGUGUCCAGGGGCUUAAUUUGGAAAUGCAUCGACAAUCCAUGUGUCUUGUCAGUAGCAGGGAAGCAGACCGUGGCUCAGGAGCUCGGCUUGCCAGAUCCCCCAAAAAGACCCAUGACGCCAUACAUACGUUUUGUGAAUGCAAAUCGACAGGAGAUCAAGAAGAAAUAUCCUGAACUCUCUGCACCUCAGUUGACAAUAAAGCUGGCAUCUCUCUGGAAUGAACUUGGUUUACCAGAGAAGAGCAAGUGGUCUUUACUAUACACUAAAGACAGAGAGGCUUAUGACCUAAAAUACAAGGAGUACAUGAAAAAGCUCACCCCACAGCAGAUUGAGAGUAUGAAGGACCUCAAGCGGAAAAGAUCGCAAGACAAAUUGAAACGGCAGAUCAGGAGAGACAAAAAGAAAGAGACGGAAGAACUGGGGAAGCCGAAGCACCCUGGCAAUGCCUUCACCUUGUACCUGCUCUCCUUGGACCGAGGGGAAGCUCCUCUCAAGGAAUUCCUUACUGGUGCUGCUAGCAGAUGGCGUCGUCUGCCAGAGGAGGAGCAAGAGGUAUUUCGUGAGAGAGCGAAGAAGCAGAGGGAGCAGUAUGAGCAGGAACUCAGACACUGGGAAGCUAAGAUGAUCAAAAGCGGAAGGGCAGAUCUAGUACGUCGACACCAGCAGCUGGAAGACCUGAAGCACACUGCCACUCACCGUCGGCACAUUCAAGAAUAGGGAUUCGCAUCAGGUGGUGCUACGGGAGAGUCAGGGGUUCUGGACAGAUCUCCGAAGCGAGGGAAGAAAAGAAGCCAGGAGAAGUUAGCCGAUAGUCAGAAUGUAGUUAGGGAGAAGGGCGUCUUGGUAGGUAAGAGAACUACCAAAAGAAAGGAACGUCUGAGCAGCACGGUUCACGGAAAUAGUGAAGAGGUGAAGGAAGACGAGAGAGAAGUGAAAGUUACUGUAAAGAUUGAUUCAUCGGAGGGAAAAACAAAAAGAGAUAAUCCAAAAUCAAAACCUGAAUCCAUAAGGCUUCCCCCUAGGGUUGAUAACAUGGAAAAAGAAAAUGCAAUUGCUUCAGGAAAAAAUGACAGAUCUGAUAAUGAUUGCUUACACUCUGGGCUCUUCCCAGAAUCACCUGAAUGUCAGAGAAAUAUCCAGGUUAUGAAACCAGGAGAUGGUAGUUAUUUGGAGUCCUCAGAUGCGACUAUAGUAUCUAACACACGGCAAGAGUCGGUAGAACAUAACAUUUUUCAUUUAAGCCAUAAACAUUUUCCAGUGAACAAUUGCACUGAAACUGUAAAUAUUGAAAUUGUUUCUGAUGGAAAACCUGAAAGGCUUGCUUCAACAGUACAAGAUUAUUCAGAAAAUCAUUCAGGAAUAAAAUCACCAAUCAUCAUACAUCCAAAUGAGAAUCCUUUAAACCACAUGAAUCCAGAAUAUGUACAUUUAAAGAAUAUUUAUCACCAAGACCCAUCAUAUUCAGUGCUUAGUCCACUGUCAACAAACAUGGCUAUUAUACCUGGUAAUGAACACUCAGGAAAUGUAAAGAAAUGUACAAGCAGUCUUUCUCCAGUGUCGUCUGCUCCAGAUGUAGCAUCAGAUAUUCUUGUUCUUGAAAGCAAGGACGCAAGGAGUGAUGAUGUCGAGAAAGGUCUGCACAAUCUAAGGAUGAAUAUGCUGGUGGUUGUGGAUCUUUGCUGAUGGCUGGGCAGAUAUCUGGAUGUGGCUGGAAAACCUACUUGAUGAAAUCUUCCCUCCAGCUCAUGGCAUUCAGGAAGAAACACCAGAUAGCCCAAAAGAAAGGUGUUCUCACAAUCUGAAGAACAAAAGCUAAUCUGGUACAUCCAUGGUUUAUCUUCCUGUUCUGGUAUUUAUGUUAUGUGGCCAUAUUUUCCUGUGAAGAACUUUUGUGCCAUGUAACUUGAUAUCCAUUAGUAUCUCUAUAAAUGAGGGGAGCACUGAAAACGUGAUGAAGACCAUAUUAACCCUAUGCCGGGCCUAUGCAAUAUUGCAUCGGGAAAGUCACACUGGUGCGUCGCCCCGUCAUCGGGCAUUUAGCCGUGUCACACGGGUGUGAUGCACCGUCAUCAAAAGGUAAAGGACAUUAUUGUCUGUUCAGCUUAGCAGGAAGAAAUGCAAUGUCAAAUUACAUUAAAUAAGUAAAAAGCCAACUGUCUUCAGAAACCAAUGAAUGUUUGUAAUCUUUUGCUUGCAAUGUCAUCUGAGAAUGAAAAUAAGUUAAGUGAUGAUUUUUCUUUCUUUGUAAAAAGUGUACUUGUUAAAGUAAUAAAAUUGAAAAUUAUAUA